GAGUUUGAUCCUGGCUCAGGACGAACGCUGGCGGCGUGCCUAACACAUGCAAGUCGAGCGAGGUCCAUCCGGUAGCAAUACCGGGGAAGACCUAGCGGCGAACGGGUGAGUAACACGUGAGAAACCUGCCCCGAAGUCUGGGAUAAGCCUGGGAAACCGGGUCUAAUACCGGAUACCCCCUCCGGAUCGCAUGGUCUGGAGAGGAAAGAACUUCGCUUCGGGAGGGUCUCGCGGCCUAUCAGCUAGUUGGUGGGGUAACGGCCCACCAAGGCAUCGACGGGUAGCUGGUCUGAGAGGACGAUCAGCCACACUGGGACUGAGACACGGCCCAGACUCCUACGGGAGGCAGCAGUGGGGAAUCUUGCGCAAUGGGCGAAAGCCUGACGCAGCAACGCCGCGUGCGGGACGAAGGCCUUCGGGUUGUAAACCGCUUUCAGGGGGGACGAAACCAGACGGUACCUCCAGAAGAAGCCCCGGCCAACUACGUGCCAGCAGCCGCGGUAACACGUAGGGGCGAGCGUUGUCCGGAUUUAUUGGGCGUAAAGAGCUCGUAGGCGGCUCGGUAAGUCAGUGUGAAACCUCCAGGCUCAACCUGG
This 596-nucleotide ribosomal RNA is filed under the name uncultured bacterium. RNAcentral describes it as "bacterial SSU rRNA". It matches the Rfam family "Bacterial small subunit ribosomal RNA", at positions 9 to 617 of the family's 1533-position model. The record is from RNAcentral.